UGCAGCCUUGUCAAAUUCAGUGCUUCCUCUGUGGAUGCCACUGGCCAAAAUGGCUACCACAGUGAAGCUGUAGUUCAUGGGCCCCACUGUGCUUCAUCAUGUCCACUGGGGAUACAAAUGUACUACACACAGAC
Small nucleolar RNA from Gymnodraco acuticeps, 134 nucleotides. RefSeq annotates it as small nucleolar RNA SNORA5. The record is from RefSeq and is a predicted model, not a curated record. Lineage: Eukaryota; Metazoa; Chordata; Actinopteri; Perciformes; Bathydraconidae. The transcript has a single exon.